AGCAGCAGCCACGGUAAUACGAAGGGUGCAAGCGUUAAUCGGAAUUACUGGGCGUAAAGCGUGCGUAGGCGGUGAGUUAAGUCCGCUGUGAAAUCCCCGGGCUCAACCUGGGAAUGGCAGUGGAUACUGGCUCGCUAGAGUGUGUCAGAGGAUGGUGGAAUUCCCGGUGUAGCGGUGAAAUGCGUAGAGAUCGGGAGGAACAUCAGUGGCGAAGGCGGCCAUCUGGGACAACACUGACGCUGAGGCACGAAAGCGUGGGGAGCAAACAGGAUUAGAUACCCGAGUAGUCCCUGUCUCUUAUAA
Molecule: ribosomal RNA, 303 nt
Filed under: uncultured bacterium
Lineage: Bacteria
Description: partial 16S ribosomal RNA
Rfam family: Bacterial small subunit ribosomal RNA
Source: RNAcentral